RNAcentral lists this small RNA (19 nucleotides) under Arabidopsis thaliana (thale cress). RNAcentral describes it as "ATSL107140". The record is from RNAcentral. Lineage: Eukaryota; Viridiplantae; Streptophyta; Magnoliopsida; Brassicales; Brassicaceae.
AUGGAGAAGGAGAAGAAGA